GAGCUAAAGCUUAAAACCCAAAGGACUUGACGGUGUUUCAUAUCCAACUAGAGGAGCCUGUCCUAUAAUUGAUAACCCCCGCUUAACCUCACCACCCCUAGCCAAUCAGCUUGUAUACUUCCGUCGUCAGCUUACCACGUGAGCGAACUUCAGUAAGCAUAACGGCCUCGCCAAUACGUCAGGUCAAAGUGCAGCAUAUGGGGNGGGAAGAGAUGGGCUACACUCUCUAAUGUAGAAUAAACGAAAGGCCUAAAUGAAACUCAGGCCUGAAGGCGGAUUUAGCAGUAAAAAGAAAAUAGAGUGUUCUUUUUAACUAGGCACUGGAACGUGU
RNAcentral lists this ribosomal RNA (331 nucleotides) under Bryophryne bakersfield. RNAcentral describes it as "partial 12S ribosomal RNA". It matches the Rfam family "Bacterial small subunit ribosomal RNA", at positions 884 to 1384 of the family's 1533-position model. The record is from RNAcentral. Lineage: Eukaryota; Metazoa; Chordata; Amphibia; Anura; Craugastoridae.